This 72-nucleotide transfer RNA is filed under the name Candidatus Tayloriibacteriota bacterium. RNAcentral's name for it is "tRNA-Glu". It matches the Rfam family "tRNA". Rfam says of the family: Transfer RNA (tRNA) molecules are approximately 80 nucleotides in length. Their secondary structure includes four short double-helical elements and three loops (D, anti-codon, and T loops). The record is from RNAcentral. Lineage: Bacteria; Candidatus Tayloriibacteriota.
GGCCCUAUCGUCUAUCGGUUAGGACAUUUGCUUUUCAAGCAAAGAAGGCGAGUUCGACUCUCGCUAGGGCUG